UUGAACGCUGGCGGCAUGCCUUACACAUGCAAGUCGAACGGCAGCACGGGUGCUUGCACCUGGUGGCGAGUGGCGAACGGGUGAGUAAUACAUCGGAACAUGUCCUGUAGUGGGGGAUAGCCCGGCGAAAGCCGGAUUAAUACCGCAUACGAUCUACGGAUGAAAGCGGGGGACCUUCGGGCCUCGCGCUAUAGGGUUGGCCGAUGGCUGAUUAGCUAGUUGGUGGGGUAAAGGCCUACCAAGGCGACGAUCAGUAGCUGGUCUGAGAGGACGACCAGCCACACUGGGACUGAGACACGGCCCAGACUCCUACGGGGGGCAGCAGUGGGGAAUUUUGGACAAUGGGCGAAAGCCUGAUCCAGCAAUGCCGCGUGUGUGAAGAAGGCCUUCGGGUUGUAAAGCACUUUUGUCCGGAAAGAAAUCCUUGGCUCUAAUACAGUCGGGGGAUGACGGUACCGGAAGAAUAAGCACCGGCUAACUACGUGCCAGCAGCCGCGGUAAUACGUAGGGUGCGAGCGUUAAUCGGAAUUACUGGGCGUAAAGCGUGCGCAGGCGGUUUGCUAAGACCGAUGUGAAAUCCCCGGGCUCAACCUGGGAACUGCAUUGGUGACUGGCAGGCUAGAGUAUGGCAGAGGGGGGUAGAAUUCCACGUGUAGCAGUGAAAUGCGUAGAGAUGUGGAGGAAUACCGAUGGCGAAGGCAGCCCCCUGGGCCAAUACUGACGCUCAUGCACGAAAGCGUGGGGAGCAAACAGGAUUAGAUACCCUGAUAGUCCACGCCCUAAACGAUGUCAACUAGUUGUUGGGGAUUCAUUUCCUUAGUAACGUAGCUAACGCGUGAAGUUGACCGCCUGGGGAGUACGGUCGCAAGAUUAAAACUCAAAGGAAUUGACGGGGACCCGCACAAGCGGUGGAUGAUGUGGAUUAAUUCGAUGCAACGCGAAAAACCUUACCUACCCUUGACAUGGUCGGAAUCCCGCUGAGAGGUGGGAGUGCUCGAAAGAGAACCGGCGCACAGGUGCUGCAUGGCUGUCGUCAGCUCGUGUCGUGAGAUGUUGGGUUAAGUCCCGCAACGAGCGCAACCCUUGUCCUUAGUUGCUACGCAAGAGCACUCUAAGGAGACUGCCGGUGACAAACCGGAGGAAGGUGGGGAUGACGUCAAGUCCUCAUGGCCCUUAUGGGUAGGGCUUCACACGUCAUACAAUGGUCGGAACAGAGGGUUGCCAACCCGCGAGGGGGAGCUAAUCCCAGAAAACCGAUCGUAGUCCGGAUUGCACUCUGCAACUCGAGUGCAUGAAGCUGGAAUCGCUAGUAAUCGCGGAUCAGCAUGCCGCGGUGAAUACGUUCCCGGGUCUUGUACACACCGC
This 1365-nucleotide ribosomal RNA is filed under the name uncultured beta proteobacterium. Its description in RNAcentral is "bacterial SSU rRNA". It matches the Rfam family "Bacterial small subunit ribosomal RNA", at positions 29 to 1393 of the family's 1533-position model. The record is from RNAcentral. Lineage: Bacteria; Pseudomonadati; Pseudomonadota; Betaproteobacteria.